Molecule: long non-coding RNA, 1792 nt
Organism: Capsicum annuum
Lineage: Eukaryota; Viridiplantae; Streptophyta; Magnoliopsida; Solanales; Solanaceae
Exons: 2
Source: RefSeq, a predicted model, not a curated record
ACUGCAUUGAUCUCGGUAGCUACACCACCCACGGAAUUUAAAGAACCUAAAGGAGCAUGGGUCAUAUAUUCCUCGGAACGCCGUUCCUGCCAAGGUUGUAUGUCUUUUUUCAACCUACUCAAGUCUAACCCAUUUGGACCCCUUAAAGGCUCUAACCAUGGAGCACGCAGAUCCCAAAAACGCAUAGUUUAUCCUCCAAAAAUGACUUCUCCGGUAGGGGAAUGCAUUAGAUAUUUACCUAAACUAGUAGGUCCUUGAGCGGAUCCCACGUUAGCCCCAAGGCAUUGGUCUCUAACUAAAAAAGUAAAUGCUUGAGCUUGAGAAGCUUCUAGUCCAGUAGGUUCAUAAAAUUCACUAGUAUAAGAGGUAUUAUUGAACCAGACAAAACAACAAGCAAUGAAAUGAAAGACGGCUAAAUCCCCUAAACUAUAAGAUAAGUAAGCCUCUCCAGACCAUACAAGUGCGUGUCGAGCCCAUGCCAAGGAUUUGGUUAAGAUAUGCUAGAUUCCAUCAAGUAUACAAAUGGAACCUAACCAUACAUGUCCUCCGAUUAUAUCUUCUAAAUCAUCCACACUAACAAUCCAUCCUUCCCCUCCAAAAGGGGAUUUUAGUAAAUAACCAAAUAUGAUACUCGGGCUAAGGGUCAAGUUGGUAAUUUUUCUUACAUCUCCCCCUCCCAGAGCCCAGGUAUCAUAUACGCCCCCAAAAUAAAGAACCUUGAAUACUAGAAGAAAAGAACCUAUACCUAACAAGAUUAAGUGAAUACCUAAAAUUGUGAUCAUUUUAUUUCGAUCUUUCCAUACAUAACCAAAGAAGGGAAAAGAUUCUUCAAGUGUCUCAGGUCCCAGAAGUGCAUGAUAAAUGCCGCCAAAGCCCAAUACUGCAGAAGAAAUUAAAUGAAGUACUCCAGAUACAAAGUAUGGAAAGGUGUCUAUAACUUCACCCCCAGGGCCUACCCCCCAACCUAGAGUAGCUAGGUGGGGAAGUAAAAUCAAUCCUUGUUUAUACAUAGGAUUCUCGGGUACGAAAUGGGCUACUUUAAAUAGGUUCAUUGCUCCGACCCAGAAUACGAUUAAUCCAGCAUGGGCUACAUGAGCCCCUAGUAGUUUACCGGAUAAAUUGAUAAGUUGGGCAUUCCCGGCCCACCAAGCGAAACCAGUGGUUUCUUGGUCACAACCAGCUAAGGCUAAAGUUCCAUUAAAGAGAGUUUCCACGUGGUAGAACCUCCUCAGGGAAUAUAAGGUUUUCAUGAGGCUGAUCUUGAGCUGCCAUCCAAGCGCAAAUACCUUUGUUUAAGAGAAUAUUUUUGGUGUAGAAAGUCUCAAAUUCAGGAUCUUCCGUUGCGCGAAUUUCCUGAGAAACAAAGUCAUAGGCACGUAGGUUCAGGGCUAGACUGACUACUCCAAGAGCACUCAUCCAUAAACUGAUUACUGGUACAAAUAACAUAAAGAAAUAUAACCAACGUUUAUUGGAAAAAGCAACCCCAAAGAUUUGGGACCAAAAGCGGUUAGCGGUGAUCAUUGAAUAAGUUUCUUCGGCUUGAGUUGGGUUAAAAGCACGGAAUGUAUUUGCACCAUCACCGUCUUUAAAUAAAGUAUUUUCUAUGGUAGCACCAUGAAUGACGCAUGGCAAAGAAGCACCCAAUACACCGGCAACUCCUAUCAUAUGAAAGGGGUUCAAGGUCCAAUUAUAAAACCCUUGAAAAAAUAGGAUGAAUCGAAAUAUAGCUGCUACACCAAAACUAGGUGCAAAGAACCAACCAGACUGACCUAGUGGAUAAAUCAGAAAUACA